This 1868-nucleotide ribosomal RNA is filed under the name Triticum aestivum (bread wheat). RNAcentral's name for it is "partial small subunit ribosomal RNA". Lineage: Eukaryota; Viridiplantae; Streptophyta; Magnoliopsida; Poales; Poaceae. The record is from RNAcentral.
GAAAUAUCUUCAGUUUCCAAUUUUGCCCUCGUCACUCACUCCUCCCACUCACUCAUUCCCCUCCCUCUCGCUCGACUCGCUCGUUCCCCUUUUCUCGCCUCCGACGAAAUCCCUAGCUCGUCUCGCCUCCGACACUCACGUCGUCGCCGCUAGCUUGCCUAUCACCCGCGUCGUCGCUGCUCGCCUCCCUCUCCCCCGCGUCGUCCGGGCUGCCUUCACUGGUGCCGUCGCCUCUCACUCUUGCCCGCAUCGCCUGCACCAGCAAGGUCGCCACAAAGUUUGAUUUUUUACUGAAGGGGAGGCGAGAGCCUGUGGGAGGAGCUAUGCCGACGGCUGGGUCUGAAGCGGCUGGUCGUCUCACCGUGAGCACGAGGGGGAGGGGCGGGAGGAGCACGAGCGAGCGGCUGUUUUAGAUGAGGAGGAGCGGAGGCGGCAGUGACAUGGUGCAGGCGACGCUCCAUCUGCUGCUGAGUAUGACGAGUGGAGGAGGAGCAGGAGGACGUCGGCGCCGUCGGAACGUGGAGAACAAUCAAUUCACAGGAUCAAUCCCAGAGAAGAUGCUCACCAUCCCAAAAUUGGUGUAGAAGAAAGGACAACCACUUAACUAUUCAAUUUCUGCAGAAGAAAGGACAAUCAUUUAACCAUUCUGAUCCGCGGUUCCUCUCCGACCGACAGUGGUGAGCAGUUCAGAUCUGGAAGCACCAUACUGUGAUGUUGCUGUUGUGAUGUUCAGGUACUGUUGCUAUUGCUGUUGUGCUGGUGCUCUACUUUUCCUCUUGCUACUGCUGCUAUGAUGAGAAAUUCUUAUCGGUGCUCUUGCUAUGAUGAGAAAUUCUCCUGUUUGUGCUACUCCUGCAUGAUGAGUACUCCACUGUUGUGCUGGGCUCCACUUUUCCUCUUGUUGGUGCUCUUGCUAUGAUCAAGGAGUACUUUAUGACCUGCACCUGCUGUUGUACUGAGAAAUUGUACUCCUGUGCUGAUUUGCACCUGCUGUUGUACUGAGAAAUUGUACUCCUGUGUUGAUUUACACCUGCUAUUGUACACUGUUGAUCUGCUCUUCCUACUGUUGUGCACCUGUGAUCUCCUGAACUGCUGUUGUGCUAUGAUGAGAAUUUAUUCUUGCUGUUGUUGUACUCCUUGAUCCAGCUGCUAUGAUGAAUUCUUGCUGUUGAUCAUGUUGCUGAAUUCUUGCAAGGAGCACCAGGGCGAGCAGCAAGGUGGACGCAGCGGGGAGCACCUGCGAGCAGCAAGGUGGGCGCAGCGGGGAUCACCUAGGCGAGUAGCAAGGGAGGGCUCCCUGGGUGCAGUGGCAAGGGAGGGCGCCCUGGCGCGGCAAGGGAGGGCCUGGGCGUGGCUGGGAGGGCCUAGGCGCGGAGAGGAUGGCCUGCGCGCGGCCUGGGGACCGAAGCUGGGCGGCGAGGACGAGCGCCUGGGCGCGGCCUGGGGACCGAAGCUGGACGGCGAGGACGAGCGCCUGGAUGCGGGGCUGAUGCGGGGACGUGAGGAAGAAGACGACUGGUUUGAAAUUCAAAUCAAGGGCAUAAUUGUCUAUUUGCACUUUUGUCGGCUGUGUGUGAAAAUCCCUCAACGUCUUAUAAUUCUUUCCAGAGGGAGUACUUAACUAAGUCUUAGUCGAUUCUAUAUUCGUGAGAUCUUACGUGGAGAUCUGUGCAAUUUUUUACAUAUGUUAUGUUACUUGAGUGAGAUUUGGUGACUUGGUUAAGUCUCAGUCAACUGAUAUCUAGUCACACCCUUCAUGUUAUUAUUGUUUAUGUGUAUCUUGGAUCUUCAAUUAUCUUGGAUCUAGUCACAUAAGUUAAGCGAAUUAUUUGAAAAAUAUCCUCAACUGUCUGCAAAUGAUUAUGUUU